Molecule: ribosomal RNA, 230 nt
Filed under: uncultured bacterium
Lineage: Bacteria
Description: partial 16S ribosomal RNA
Rfam family: Bacterial small subunit ribosomal RNA
Source: RNAcentral
AAAGCGUGCGCAGGCGGCUUUGCAAGACAGAGGUGAAAUCCCCGGGCUCAACCUGGGAACUGCCUUUGUGACUGCAAGGCUAGAGUACGGCAGAGGGAGAUGGAAUUCCGCGUGUAGCAGUGAAAUGCGUAGAUAUGCGGAGGAACACCGAUGGCGAAGGCAAUCUCCUGGGCCUGUACUGACGCUCAUGCACGAAAGCGUGGGGAGCAAACAGGAUUAGAUACCCUUGU